GUAGGUGGCAAGCGUUGUCCGGAAUUAUUGGGCGUAAAGCGCGCGCAGGCGGUUCUUUAAGUCUGAUGUGAAAGCCCACGGCUCAACCGUGGAGGGUCAUUGGAAACUGGAGAACUUGAGUACAGAAGAGGAAAGCGGAACUCCACGUGUAGCGGUGAAAUGCGUAGAGAUGUGGAGGAACACCAGUGGCGAAGGCGGCUUUCUGGUCUGUAACUGACGCUGAGGCGCGAAAGCGUGGGGAGCAAACAGGGAUUAGAUACCCUGGUAGUCCACGCCGUAAACGAUGAGUGCUAAGUGUUAGGGGGGGUUUCCGCCCCCUUAGUGCUGCAGCUAACGCAUUAAGCACUCCGCCUGGGGAGUACGGCCGCAAGGCUG
Molecule: ribosomal RNA, 375 nt
Filed under: uncultured organism
Description: partial 16S ribosomal RNA
Rfam family: Bacterial small subunit ribosomal RNA
Source: RNAcentral